This 435-nucleotide ribosomal RNA is filed under the name Triticum aestivum (bread wheat). RNAcentral's name for it is "partial small subunit ribosomal RNA". Lineage: Eukaryota; Viridiplantae; Streptophyta; Magnoliopsida; Poales; Poaceae. The record is from RNAcentral.
AUGAAGAUGAGCCGGCAAUGGAUGUACGAUGACCGAUGCUCUCCCCAGUUAAUUAAUGGCGUGCAUACUUUUCUGCUUGCGGCUGAGGCAAACAAGCGGGCGGAUGGUUUUAUGUCUUAUCCAUGUGCUAACUGUAAGAAUGAUCUGAAUUACUCUAAGUCAAGAACCAUUCACGUCCACCUGUUUGAGUCCGGUUUCAUGCCCCGCUAUAAUGUUUGGACCAAGCAUGGAGAAAGAGGGGUUAUGAUGGAAGACAAUGAAGAAGAAGAGGAUGACAAUAGCUAUCCUGGCCAUGGGUUCCCUGAAUACGAUGGUACAACAAUAGGGGAAGAAGCUGAAGAAGAGGCAUCAGAUGAGCCCAUUGAUGAUCUAGGUCGGGCCAUUGCCGAUGCAAAGAUAAACUGCGCAAGUGAAAAGGAUAAGAAGAAGUUGCAG